UUUUUCCUACGGGGCGCAGCAGUAGGGAAUUUUCGGCAAUGGGGGGAACCCUGACCGAGCAACGCCGCGUGAAGGAAGAAAGAAUUCGUUCUGUAAACUUCUGUUAUAAAGGAAGAAAGACGGAUGGAGGAAAUGACAUCCGAGUGACGGUACUUUAUGAGAAAGCCACGGCUAACUACGUGCCAGCAGCCGCGGUAAUACGUAGGUGGCAAGCGUUAUCCGGAAUUAUUGGGCGUAAAGAGGGAGCAGGC
RNAcentral lists this ribosomal RNA (251 nucleotides) under uncultured bacterium. RNAcentral's name for it is "partial 16S ribosomal RNA". It matches the Rfam family "Bacterial small subunit ribosomal RNA", at positions 333 to 576 of the family's 1533-position model. The record is from RNAcentral.